CUUAUGACCUGGGCUACACACGUGCUACAAUGGACGGUACAACGAGUUGCGAGACCGCGAGGUCAAGCUAAUCUCUUAAAGCCAUUCUCAGUUCGGACUGUAGGCUGCAACUCGCCUACACGAAGUCGGAAUCGCUAGUAAUCGCGGAUCAGCACGCCGCGGUGAAUACGUUCCCGGGCCUUGUACACACCGCCCGUCACACCAU
RNAcentral lists this ribosomal RNA (205 nucleotides) under Lacticaseibacillus paracasei. Its description in RNAcentral is "Lactobacillus paracasei partial 16S ribosomal RNA". It matches the Rfam family "Bacterial small subunit ribosomal RNA", at positions 1201 to 1405 of the family's 1533-position model. The record is from RNAcentral. Lineage: Bacteria; Bacillati; Bacillota; Bacilli; Lactobacillales; Lactobacillaceae.